RNAcentral lists this unclassified non-coding RNA (348 nucleotides) under soil metagenome. RNAcentral's name for it is "partial contains 5.8S ribosomal RNA, internal transcribed spacer 2, and large subunit ribosomal RNA". The stretch from base 1 to 120 matches the Rfam family "5.8S ribosomal RNA", at positions 35 to 154 of the family's 154-position model. The record is from RNAcentral.
GAUGAAGAACGCAGCGAAAUGCGAUAAGUAAUGUGAAUUGCAGAAUUCAGUGAAUCAUCGAAUCUUUGAACGCACAUUGCGCCCGCCAGUAUUCUGGCGGGCAUGCCUGUCUGAGCGUCAUUUCAACGCUCAUGCCCCUAGGGCGUGGUGUUGGGGAUCGGCCAAAGCCCGCGAGGGACGGCCGGCCCCUAAAUCUAGUGGCGGACCCGUCGUGGCCUCCUCUGCGAAGUAGUGAUAUUCCGCAUCGGAGAGCGAUGAGCCCCUGCCGUUAAACCCCCAACUUUCCAAGGUUGACCUCAGAUCAGGUAGGAAUACCCGCUGAACUUAAGCAUAUCAAUAAGCGGAGGA